AUUGAACGCUGGCGGCAUGCUUUACACAUGCAAGUCGAACGGCAGCACGGGGGCAACCCUGGUGGCGAGUGGCGAACGGGUGAGUAAUGCAUCGGAACGUAUCCUUAAGUGGGGGAUAACGCAUCGAAAGAUGCGCUAAUACCGCAUAAUCUCUAAGGAGAAAAGCAGGGGGAUCGCAAGACCUUGCGCUUUUUGGAGCGGCCGAUGUCUGAUUAGCAGUUGGUGAGGUAAAGGCUUACCAAGGCUUCGAUCAGUAGCUGGUCUGAGAGGACGACCAGCCACACUGGGACUGAGACACGGCCCAGACUCCUACGGGAGGCAGCAGUGGGG
RNAcentral lists this ribosomal RNA (330 nucleotides) under uncultured bacterium. RNAcentral describes it as "bacterial SSU rRNA". It matches the Rfam family "Bacterial small subunit ribosomal RNA", at positions 30 to 359 of the family's 1533-position model. The record is from RNAcentral.